GAGCAAAUCCCUAAAAGCCAUCCCAGUUCGGAUUGCAGGCUGNAACCCGCCUGUAUGAAGUUGGAAUCGCUAGUAAUCGCGGAUCAGCAUGCCGCGGUGAAUACGUUCCCGGGCCUUGUACACACCGCCCGUCACACCAUGAGAGUCGGGAACACCCGAAGUCCGUAGCCUAACCGCAAGGGGGGCGCGGCCGAAGGUGGGUUCGAUAAUUGGGGUGAAGUCGUAACAAGGUACC
This 235-nucleotide ribosomal RNA is filed under the name uncultured bacterium. Its description in RNAcentral is "partial 16S ribosomal RNA". It matches the Rfam family "Bacterial small subunit ribosomal RNA", at positions 1265 to 1500 of the family's 1533-position model. The record is from RNAcentral.